RNAcentral lists this non-coding RNA (208 nucleotides) under Paenibacillus beijingensis. RNAcentral's name for it is "FMN sequence". It matches the Rfam family "FMN riboswitch aptamer (RFN element)". Rfam says of the family: The RFN element is a highly conserved domain that is found frequently in the 5'-untranslated regions of prokaryotic mRNAs that encode for flavin mononucleotide (FMN) biosynthesis and transport proteins. This element is a metabolite-dependent riboswitch that directly binds FMN in the absence of proteins. Lineage: Bacteria; Bacillati; Bacillota; Bacilli; Caryophanales; Paenibacillaceae. The record is from Rfam by way of RNAcentral.
GCUUUCCUUCGGGGUGGGGUGUAAUUCCCAACCGGCGGUGAUCGGCUAACAGACGUGUGCGGUUCCAACCGGGCGUUCGUUAUCCGUCAGUCCGUGACCCGGACCUGCAAUGUUUUCGAUGCUCAACCGAUGAGAGAAAACGUGCGGCGAAGGUGGAUCCGGUGCAAUUCCGGGACCGACAGUAUAGUCUGGAUGGGAGAAGGAGACG